GAACGCACCUUGCGCCCUUUGGCUAUUCCGAAGGGCAUGCCUGUUUGAGUAUCAUUUAAUUCUCAACCUUAUUAGCUUUUGCCGAUAAUGGCUUGGAUGUGGGGGAUUAUUUUUUUGCUGGCUUCUUUCAGAGGUCAGCUCCCCUGAAAUGCAUUAGCUGGUUGCCCCGCGUGGACCGUCUAUUUGGUGUGAUAAUUAUCUACGCCGUGGAUGUCUGCAAUUGGUUUUGGCACUGCUUCUAACCGUCUAUUCAUUUGGACAAUACAUGACAAUUUGACCUCAAAUCAGGUAGGACUACCCGCUGAACUUAAG
Molecule: unclassified non-coding RNA, 312 nt
Filed under: Hymenogaster megasporus
Lineage: Eukaryota; Fungi; Basidiomycota; Agaricomycetes; Agaricales; Hymenogastraceae
Description: sequence contains 5.8S rRNA gene
Source: RNAcentral